CAUAGAAAGUAUCUUUUUUGUUUAGCGCGCACGACACGUUUUUGUGUUGCGUGUGGGGAUUAGAAUAUUCUUAACUCUACGGUUUUUGCUAGAGUUUAUUUCCUAAUUUUAACUCGGAUAGUCGGAUAUCUAUUUUUUAACAAAGAAAGUAUAGGGAGUUAUGACUUUAAGAUUGUAAAAGUCAUGAGUUAAAUUAUUAGUAAGUACUUUUUCCUUUUUUAAAGUAGGGGGAAUGUUAGAAUCUUAAUUCUAUUUGUAGCUUGUUUUUGUACUUCAUAUUACUAACCCUGUAUCUCACUUUAGCAAAGGUUUAGUUCCAGUGAUUGUAUAUACAGUGUUGGGGUAAAGGGACUCCAGAAGGCAGACAAGGCUCGACUCCAGACUCUAGUUGAAGUAACAGAAGAGAGAGGAGUGUCCAGUGUUUAGUUGACUCCAGACUCUAGCGUAGCAGAAGGGAGAGGAGUGACGUUGUCGACUUCAGACUCUAGCGUAGCAGAAGGGAGAGGAGUGACGUUGUUUUAGUGAUCCCACAGAUUCCAGUCGACAGAUACUAUCUGUGUUCUGUGACGUGGAAAGAGUGGGUUUUGUUUUAUAGUUAUCAGUUCCAGUUUAGUUGAAGUCCUCAUCAUUCAGAAGUCCCUCAUAUAGUAAGAAGAACAUCAUCAUCAGAGUAGUAGUUUUAAUUUAAUAGUUGUUUAAUCUAAUAGUAAAAAGACAUUAUUUAGUUUAGUAUUGAAUUGUGUAUUAGUUAGAGCAGUGUGAGUAACUGAGUCACACCAAUCACCUUUUAAUCACUCAUUCACUAUUUGAGGGUGAGUACAUAGAGUAACAAGGUUACAUUUGAAACACCAUUUAUUUGUAUAACCUCUUUAUUCAUCUAAUUUGUAUUUAUAAUAA
Molecule: long non-coding RNA, 897 nt
Organism: Bolinopsis microptera
Lineage: Eukaryota; Metazoa; Ctenophora; Tentaculata; Lobata; Bolinopsidae
Exons: 2
Source: RefSeq, a predicted model, not a curated record